RNAcentral lists this long non-coding RNA (410 nucleotides) under Mus pahari (shrew mouse). Its description in RNAcentral is "predicted gene 44646 (MGP_PahariEiJ_G0002160.1)". The record is from RNAcentral. Lineage: Eukaryota; Metazoa; Chordata; Mammalia; Rodentia; Muridae.
UACGGACUCUGGAAGGAUGGACACAUGAUAAUUUGAGCAACAGUACUUUAUCACAGUGAUACUCUAAAAAGAUGACUGCCAUCCCAAGGGUUGCAGCACUGGUGUCUGGGUUCUGAUGACUUAUUAACAGGCACUGCUAUUUCUGGGACAGACCAGAUGCUGACUUCCCAGCCAGGACCCUGGGACUGUCUGCUCCCUCUUCCAACCCUGCCUGUCCCAUCCUUGCCAUGCCAGCGGCUUCCUGACCAGGGAUGUCUCUUUUGCUGUCUUAGCCCUGCCUCUCCUUCUCUGUCAUGCUUAUCACCAUUCAUGGUUUUAUGUCACUUGUGAGACAUGAGGCCAGUGUCACCCUUCCUCCAAUACAAAGGGGCGUUUUUAUCCCAUUUGUGAAGCACAGAUAACGUUCAGGA